GCUUGUCUCAAAGAUUAAGCCAUGCAAGUCUAAGUUUAAGCAAUUAAACAGCGAAACUGCGGACGGCUCAUUAAAUCAGUUAUCGUUUAUUUGAUAGCACCUACUACAUGGAUAACUGUGGUAAUUCUAGAGCUAAUACAUGCUAAAAAUCCCGACUUCGGAAGGGAUGUAUUUAUUAGAUUAAAAACCAAUGCCCUUCGGGGCUCUCUGGUGAUUCAUAAUAACUGCUCGAAUCGCAUGGCCUUGCGCCGGCGAUGGCUCAUUCAAAUUUCUGCCCUAUCAACUUUCGACGGCUGGGUCUUGGCCAGCCAUGGUGACAACGGGUAACGGAGGGUUAGGGCUCGACCCCGGAGAAGGAGCCUGAGAGACGGCUACUACAUCCAAGGAAGGCAGCAGG
This 397-nucleotide ribosomal RNA is filed under the name Phaeoacremonium minimum. RNAcentral's name for it is "partial small subunit ribosomal RNA". It matches the Rfam family "Eukaryotic small subunit ribosomal RNA", at positions 30 to 432 of the family's 1831-position model. Lineage: Eukaryota; Fungi; Ascomycota; Sordariomycetes; Togniniales; Togniniaceae. The record is from RNAcentral.